UACUAUGGCCAUGCUACCCUGAACGAGCCCGAGCCUGUCUGAUCUUGGAAGCUAAGCAGGAUCGGACCUGGUUAGUACUUGGAUAGGAGACCACCUUGGAAGAUCAGGUGCUGUAGGUG
Molecule: ribosomal RNA, 119 nt
Filed under: Pteropus alecto (black flying fox)
Lineage: Eukaryota; Metazoa; Chordata; Mammalia; Chiroptera; Pteropodidae
Source: RNAcentral